UACGGAGGAUGCGAGCGUUAUCCGGAUUUAUUGGGUUUAAAGGGUGCGCAGGCGGAGGUGCAAGUCAGCGGUCAAAUUGCGGGGCUCAACCCCGUACUGCCGUUGAAACUGGCAGUCUCGAGUUGGAGAGAAGUAUGCGGAAUGCGCGGUGUAGCGGUGAAAUGCAUAGAUAUCGCGCAGAACUCCGAUUGCGAAGGCAGCAUGCCGGCUCCACACUGACGCUGAGGCACGAAAGCGUGGGUAUCGAACAGG
RNAcentral lists this ribosomal RNA (252 nucleotides) under uncultured Bacteroidales bacterium. RNAcentral describes it as "partial 16S ribosomal RNA". It matches the Rfam family "Bacterial small subunit ribosomal RNA", at positions 524 to 776 of the family's 1533-position model. Lineage: Bacteria; Pseudomonadati; Bacteroidota; Bacteroidia; Bacteroidales. The record is from RNAcentral.